Molecule: unclassified non-coding RNA, 219 nt
Filed under: Hevea brasiliensis (rubber tree)
Lineage: Eukaryota; Viridiplantae; Streptophyta; Magnoliopsida; Malpighiales; Euphorbiaceae
Source: RNAcentral
UUGUGAUGGCAAGCCCUUAAAGGCUGUACUGGAGAUGUGGAACCAUAUGUUACUUUUCAGUGCUCAAAAUGAUUAGAUGCCUUCAUGAUGGAUGCAAUGCUUUUGCCCAACUUGAGGCAGACAGACAUCAUUUAUUACAAAGAAGUUAGAAUCUACGCUACUUGCUGUCUUUGCUUUGGUGUGAAAUACUGGUGGAGAAUCAAAUUUCGCUGUUGAGUU